UNUAUUUGAAGUUGUAAAUAGUCAAGCCUGCUCACUGACUUUAGAGUUAAAGAGCCGCGGUACUUUGACCGUGCGAAGGUAGCAUAAUCAUUAGUUUUUUAAUUGAAAGCUGGAAUGAAAGGUUAGACAAAAAGAAAUCUGUCUCAAAGAUAAUCANGGAAUUUGAUCUUUAAGUGAAAAAGCUUAAAUCACCUGGAAAGACGAUAAGACCCUAUAAAGCUUUAUAUAACAAGAUAUNUAAAAUGAAUUAAGUUUCGAUAAUAUUAUAGUCUUCUUUUAUAUUUUAUUGGGGCGAUAUAAGUAUAAUUUGAAUUAACUGCUUAGUUAUUAUACACAGAUAAGUGUUUAAAUUCGAUGAUCCUUAGCUUAAGAUUUAAAGAACAAGUUACUUUAGGGAUAACAGCGUAAUUUUUUCCAAGAGUUCGUAUCGAAGAAAAAGAUUGCGACCUCGAUGUUGAAUUAAAAGGUCUAUAUGGCGCAG
RNAcentral lists this ribosomal RNA (481 nucleotides) under Brachyura sp. 01085A. RNAcentral's name for it is "partial large subunit ribosomal RNA". It matches the Rfam family "Bacterial large subunit ribosomal RNA", at positions 1832 to 2558 of the family's 2925-position model. The record is from RNAcentral. Lineage: Eukaryota; Metazoa; Arthropoda; Malacostraca; Decapoda.